Molecule: ribosomal RNA, 826 nt
Filed under: uncultured Streptococcus sp.
Lineage: Bacteria; Bacillati; Bacillota; Bacilli; Lactobacillales; Streptococcaceae
Description: bacterial SSU rRNA
Rfam family: Bacterial small subunit ribosomal RNA
Source: RNAcentral
GAGAGGAGCUUGCUCUUCUUGGAUGAGUUGCGAACGGGUGAGUAACGCGUAGGUAACCUGCCUUGUAGCGGGGGAUAACUAUUGGAAACGAUAGCUAAUACCGCAUAACAAUGGGUGACACACGUCAUUUAUUUGAAAGGGGCAAUUGCUCCACUACAAGAUGGACCUGCGUUGUAUUAGCUAGUAGGUGAGGUAACGGCUCACCUAGGCGACGAUACAUAGCCGACCUGAGAGGGUGAUCGGCCACACUGGGACUGAGACACGGCCCAGACUCCUACGGGAGGCAGCAGUAGGGAAUCUUCGGCAAUGGGGGCAACCCUGACCGAGCAACGCCGCGUGAGUGAAGAAGGUUUUCGGAUCGUAAAGCUCUGUUGUAAGUCAAGAACGAGUGUGAGAGUGGAAAGUUCACACUGUGACGGUAGCUUACCAGAAAGGGACGGCUAACUACGUGCCAGCAGCCGCGGUAAUACGUAGGUCCCGAGCGUUGUCCGGAUUUAUUGGGCGUAAAGCGAGCGCAGGCGGUUUGAUAAGUCUGAAGUUAAAGGCUGUGGCUCAACCAUAGUUCGCUUUGGAAACUGUCAAACUUGAGUGCAGAAGGGGAGAGUGGAAUUCCAUGUGUAGCGGUGAAAUGCGUAGAUAUAUGGAGGAACACCGGUGGCGAAAGCGGCUCUCUGGUCUGUAACUGACGCUGAGGCUCGAAAGCGUGGGGAGCGAACAGGAUUAGAUACCCUGGUAGUCCACGCCGUAAACGAUGAGUGCUAGGUGUUGGAUCCUUUCCGGGAUUCCAGUGCCGCAUGCUAACGCAUUAAGCACUCCGCCUGGGAGU